UACGUAGGGUGCAAGCGUUGUCCGGAAUUAUUGGGCGUAAAGAGCUCGUAGGCGGUUUGUCGCGUCUGCUGUGAAAACUCGGGGCUUAACCCCGGGCCUGCAGUGGGUACGGGCAGACUAGAGUGCGGUAGGGGAGACUGGAAUUCCUGGUGUAGCGGUGAAAUGCGUAGAGAUGUGGAGGAACACCGAUGGCGAAGGCAGCCCCCUGGGCUGAGAUUGACGCUCAGGCACGAAAGCGUGGGGAGCAAACAGG
RNAcentral lists this ribosomal RNA (253 nucleotides) under uncultured bacterium. RNAcentral describes it as "partial 16S ribosomal RNA". It matches the Rfam family "Bacterial small subunit ribosomal RNA", at positions 524 to 776 of the family's 1533-position model. The record is from RNAcentral.